CCUACGGGAGGCAGCAGUAGGGAAUCUUCCACAAUGGGCGAAAGCCUGAUGGAGCAACGCCGCGUGGGUGAAGAAGGCCCUCGGAUCGUAAAACCCUGUUGUUAGAGAAGAAAGUGCGUGAGCGUAACUGUUCACGUUUCGACGGUAUCUAACCAGAAAGCCACGGCUAACUACGUGCCAGCAGCCGCGGGAAUACGGAGGUGGCAAGCGUUAUCCGGAUUUAUGGGGCGGAAAGGGAACGCAGGCGGUCUUUUAAGUCUGAUGUGAAAGCCUUCGGUUUAACCGGAGUAGUGCAUUGGAAACUGGGGGACUUGAGUGCAGAAGAGGAGGGUGGAACUCCAGGUGUAGCGGUGAAAUGCGUAGAUAUAUGGAAGAACACCAGUGGCGAAGGCGGCUCUCUGGUCUGUAACUGACGCUGAGGUUCGAAAGCGUGGGUAGCAAACAGGAUUAGAUACCCGUGUAGUC
This 465-nucleotide ribosomal RNA is filed under the name uncultured bacterium. RNAcentral describes it as "partial 16S ribosomal RNA". It matches the Rfam family "Bacterial small subunit ribosomal RNA", at positions 338 to 795 of the family's 1533-position model. The record is from RNAcentral.